Molecule: ribosomal RNA, 247 nt
Filed under: uncultured bacterium
Lineage: Bacteria
Description: partial 16S ribosomal RNA
Rfam family: Bacterial small subunit ribosomal RNA
Source: RNAcentral
AGCGGCGGACGGGUGAGUAACACGUGGGCAACCUACCUGUAAGACUGGGAUAACUUCGGGAAACCGGAGCUAAUACCGGAUAAUUCUUUUCUACACAUGUAGAAAAGCUGAAAGACGGUUUCGGCUGUCACUUACAGAUGGGCCCGCGGCGCAUUAGCUAGUUGGUGAGGUAAUGGCUCACCAAGGCAACGAUGCGUAGCCGACCUGAGAGGGUGAUCGGCCACACUGGGACUGAGACACGGCCCAG